CGACGAUGCGUAGGGGUUCUGAGAGGAAGGUCCCCCACACUGGUACUGAGACACGGACCAGACUCCUACGGGAGGCAGCAGUGAGGAAUAUUGGUCAAUGGGCGGGAGCCUGAACCAGCCAAGCCGCGUGAGGGAUGACGGCCCUAUGGGUUGUAAACCUCUUUUGCCGGGGAGCAAAGUGCCGCACGUGUGCGGUUUGGAGAGUACCCGGAGAAAAAGCAUCGGCUAACUCCGUGCCAGCAGCCGCGGUAAUACGGAGGAUGCGAGCGUUAUCCGGAUUUAUUGGGUUUAAAGGGUGCGUAGGCGGACGCUUAAGUCAGCGGUAAAAUUGCGGGGCUCAACCUCGUCGAGCCGUUGAAACUGGGUGCCUUGAGUGGGCGAGAAGUACGCGGAAUGCGUGGUGUAGCGGUGAAAUGCAUAGAUAUCACGCAGAACUCCGAUUGCGAAGGCAGCGUACCGGCGCCCAACUGACGCUGAAGCACGAAGGCGUGGGUAUCGAACAGGAUUAGAUACCCUGGUAGUCCACGCAGUAAACGAUGAAUGCUAGUUGUCCGGGGCGAUUGAGUUCUGG
Molecule: ribosomal RNA, 571 nt
Filed under: uncultured bacterium
Lineage: Bacteria
Description: bacterial SSU rRNA
Rfam family: Bacterial small subunit ribosomal RNA
Source: RNAcentral